This 72-nucleotide transfer RNA is filed under the name Heterocephalus glaber (naked mole-rat). It matches the Rfam family "tRNA". From Rfam's summary of the family: Transfer RNA (tRNA) molecules are approximately 80 nucleotides in length. Their secondary structure includes four short double-helical elements and three loops (D, anti-codon, and T loops). Further hydrogen bonds mediate the characteristic L-shaped molecular structure. tRNAs have two regions of fundamental functional importance: the anti-codon, which is responsible for specific mRNA codon recognition, and the 3' end, to which the tRNAs corresponding amino acid is attached (by aminoacyl-tRNA synthetases). tRNAs cope with the degeneracy of the genetic code in two manners: having more than one tRNA (with a specific anti-codon) for a particular amino acid; and 'wobble' base-pairing, i.e. permitting non-standard base-pairing at the 3rd anti-codon position. Lineage: Eukaryota; Metazoa; Chordata; Mammalia; Rodentia; Bathyergidae. The record is from Rfam by way of RNAcentral.
GGGGGUGUAGCUUAGGGGUAAAGCAUAUGCUUAGCAUGUGCAAGGCUCUGGGUUCAAUUCCCAACACCACAU